AUCAGGAUGGCCAAGUGGUCUAAGGCGCCAGACUCAAGUUCUGGUCUUCGAAAGAGGGCGUGGGUUCAAAUCCCACUUCUAAGU
This 84-nucleotide transfer RNA is filed under the name Citrus x clementina. Its description in RNAcentral is "Citrus clementina tRNA". It matches the Rfam family "tRNA". From Rfam's summary of the family: Transfer RNA (tRNA) molecules are approximately 80 nucleotides in length. Lineage: Eukaryota; Viridiplantae; Streptophyta; Magnoliopsida; Sapindales; Rutaceae. The record is from Rfam by way of RNAcentral.